Molecule: ribosomal RNA, 257 nt
Filed under: uncultured bacterium
Lineage: Bacteria
Description: partial 16S ribosomal RNA
Rfam family: Bacterial small subunit ribosomal RNA
Source: RNAcentral
UACGUAGGAGGCAAGCGUUGUCCGGAAUCACUGGGCGUAAAGAGCGUGUAGGCGGUCUGCCAAAGUCUGUUGUGAAAGCGCCUGGCUUAACUGGGCGAGGUCGACGGGAAACUGGCAAACUGGAGGCCGGUAGAGGAGGGUGGAAUCCUGGUGUAGCGGUGGAAUGCGCAGAUAGUCAGGAGGAACACCGGUGGCGAAGGCGGGUCUCUGGGCAGUAACUGACGCUGGAGGAGCGAAAGCCGUGGGGAGCGAACAGG